This 778-nucleotide long non-coding RNA is filed under the name Drosophila guanche. Lineage: Eukaryota; Metazoa; Arthropoda; Insecta; Diptera; Drosophilidae. The record is from RNAcentral.
AAAAUAGUUAGGCUAAGUGCAUGCUGCACAGAACAAAAAUUGCAUUCAAGGUUGGAAGACUUAAUUGAUGUGCGUGUAGAAAAUAUACAAAAACAAAAAAAAAAAACGUGGUGAAAAUUUUGCAAAACCAUAAAAGGGAACAUAAACCAAAUAAAAACCAAUAUAAAAGUGUUGUGGCUGCAAAGACGAAAACUUAAAAACCAACCCCUGGAUAAGGUACGCCAAGAAAAAAAUGAAAAAGUGACCUUAUUACAUAAUUCCAUGUAUGUACUGUACAUAGGUUAUGAUCCACGUGUGGCAGGAAAUUGCUGACCUGGCCUGACCCUCGGUCUCGGAGGGGGGGUCCGCUCCAGUACCACGAUCAUCCGUCCCUCUUUUUGGUGCCACCGGACCUUGCCUGCAGGCGAAAAAACGGAUGGACUUGGCGAUCGGGACCGAGUUGUUUAUAUACAUAUAUCUCACGCGCAACUAUAAAACCAUCUAUUAUAUUAUAUCACCGCGCCUUGUGUAAAGAAAUGUUGGUGCUUGCAUAUGUAGGGUGUGGAAAAAUUAGCUCAGCGGUCAUUGCCCUUGCGGCUGACCAUACACCUAUGCGCACUUAAAUAGACCCACCUGACCGUAUGUCACCUAUUCUCUCCUUCUCUCAGGUUAUUAAAACUGUUCGAUGCCGACAUUCUAAAAGCCACUUAAGGGAAGAAAAGUAAAUCACAAAAAUCUAGAAAAGAAAACUUAAUGAAAAAUUAUGAAUAGAAGAAAAAAAAUAGAAAAGAAAAUUGUU